This 435-nucleotide ribosomal RNA is filed under the name uncultured Micrococcus sp. Its description in RNAcentral is "bacterial SSU rRNA". It matches the Rfam family "Bacterial small subunit ribosomal RNA", at positions 958 to 1393 of the family's 1533-position model. Lineage: Bacteria; Bacillati; Actinomycetota; Actinomycetes; Micrococcales; Micrococcaceae. The record is from RNAcentral.
AACGCGAAGAACCUUACCAAGGCUUGACAUGUUCUCGAUCGCCGUAGAGAUACGGUUUCCCCUUUGGGGCGGGUUCACAGGUGGUGCAUGGUUGUCGUCAGCUCGUGUCGUGAGAUGUUGGGUUAAGUCCUGCAACGAGCGCAACCCUCGUUCCAUGUUGCCAGCACUUCGGGUGGGGACUCAUGGGAGACUGCCGGGGUCAACUCGGAGGAAGGUGGGGACGACGUCAAAUCAUCAUGCCCCUUAUGUCUUGGGCUUCACGCAUGCUACAAUGGCCGGUACAAUGGGUUGCGAUACUGUGAGGUGGAGCUAAUCCCAAAAAGCCGGUCUCAGUUCGGAUUGGGGUCUGCAACUCGACCCCAUGAAGUCGGAGUCGCUAGUAAUCGCAGAUCAGCAACGCUGCGGUGAAUACGUUCCCGGGUCUUGUACACACGC